CUACGUAGGGUGCAAGCGUUAAUCGGAAUUACUGGGCGUAAAGCGUGCGCAGGCGGUUUUGUAAGACAGUGGUGAAAUCCCCGGGCUCAACCUGGGAACUGCCAUUGUGACUGCAAGGCUGGAGUGCGGCAGAGGGGGAUGGAAUUCCGCGUGUAGCAGUGAAAUGCGUAGAUAUGCGGAGGAACACCGAUGGCAAAGGCAUUCCACUGGGCCUGUACUGACGCUCAUGCACGAAAGCGUGGGGAGCAAACAGGAUUAGAUACCCUGUUCGUCCACGCCCUAAAUGAUGUCAACGCGUUGUUGGGGAUUUAGUUUCUCAGUAACGAAGCUAACGCGUGAAGUUGACCGCCUGGGGAGUACGGCCGCAAGGUUAAAACUCAAAGGAAUUGACGGGG
RNAcentral lists this ribosomal RNA (395 nucleotides) under uncultured bacterium. RNAcentral's name for it is "partial 16S ribosomal RNA". It matches the Rfam family "Bacterial small subunit ribosomal RNA", at positions 523 to 918 of the family's 1533-position model. The record is from RNAcentral.